ACUCAAAUGAAUUGACGGGGGCCCGCACAAGCGGUGGAGCAUGUGGUUUAAUUCGAUGCAACGCGAAGAACCUUACCUACCCUUGACAUCCUGUGAAUCCUGCUGAAAGGUGGGAGUGCCGCAAGGAACACAGAGACAGGUGCUGCAUGGCUGUCGUCAGCUCGUGUUGUGAGAUGUUGGGUUAAGUCCCGUAACGAGCGCAACCCUUGUCCUUAGUUGCCAGCAUUUAGUUGGGGACUCUAAGGAGACUGCCGGUGAGGAACCGGAGGAAGGCGGGGACGACGUCAAGUCAUCAUGGCCUUUAUGGGUAGGGCUACACACGUGCUACAAUGGGGCGUACAGAGGGUUGCCAACCCGCGAGGGGGAGCCAAUCUCACAAAGCGUCUCGUAGUCCGGAUCGGAGUCUGCAACUCGACUCCGUGAAGUCGGAAUCGCUAGUAAUCGCGAAUCAGCCAUGUCGCGGUGAAUACGUUCCCGGGCCUUGCACACACCGCCCGU
RNAcentral lists this ribosomal RNA (498 nucleotides) under uncultured bacterium. Its description in RNAcentral is "partial 16S ribosomal RNA". It matches the Rfam family "Bacterial small subunit ribosomal RNA", at positions 899 to 1397 of the family's 1533-position model. The record is from RNAcentral.